This 909-nucleotide ribosomal RNA is filed under the name Diaporthe sp. Its description in RNAcentral is "partial large subunit ribosomal RNA". It matches the Rfam family "Eukaryotic large subunit ribosomal RNA", at positions 34 to 965 of the family's 3401-position model. The record is from RNAcentral. Lineage: Eukaryota; Fungi; Ascomycota; Sordariomycetes; Diaporthales; Diaporthaceae.
CUAGCAUAUCAAUAAGCGGAGGAAAAGAAACCAACAGGGAUUGCCUUUAGUAACGGCGAGUGAAGCGGCAACAGCUCAAAUUUGAAAUCUGGCCCUUUGGGUCCGAAUUGUAAUUUGUAGAGGAUGAUUUUGGUGCGGUAUCUUCCGAGUUCCUUGGAACAGGACGCCUUAGAGGGUGAGAGCCCCGUACGGUUGAAUGCCUAGCCUCUGUAAAUCUCCUUCGACGAGUCGAGUAGUUUGGGAAUGCUGCUCUAAAUGGGAGGUAAAUUUCUUCUAAAGCUAAAUAUUGGCCAGAGACCGAUAGCGCACAAGUAGAGUGAUCGAAAGAUGAAAAGCACUUUGAAAAGAGGGUUAAAUAGCACGUGAAAUUGUUGAAAGGGAAGGAUUUGUGACCAGACUUUUUCUGGGCGGAUCAUCCGGGGUUCUCUCCGGUGCACUUCGCCCAGUAAAGGCCAGCAUCGGUUUUCGGCGUGGGAUAAAAGCAGUAGGAAUGUGGCUCUCUACGGGGAGUGUUAUAGCCUAUUGUAUAAUACCGCGCUGGGGACCGAGGUUCGCGCUUCUGCAAGGAUGCUGGCGUAAUGGUUAUCAAUCACCCGUCUUGAAACACGGACCAAGGAGUCGAACAUUUGUGCGAGUGUUUGGGUGUUAAACCCUCACGCGUAAUGAAAGUGAACGGAGGUGAGAGCCCUUACGGGUGCAUCAUCGACCGAUCCUGAAGUUUUCGGAUGGAUUUGAGUAAGAGCAUAACUGUUCGGACCCGAAAGAUGGUGAACUAUGCGUGGAUAGGGUGAAGCCAGAGGAAAACUCUGGUGGAGGCUCGCAGCGGUUCUGACGUGCAAAUCGAUCGUCAAAUCUGCGCAUGGGGGGCGAAAGACUAAUCGAACCAUCUAGUAGCUGGUUACCGCCGAU